UUUUGGACAAUGGGCGCAAGCCUGAUCCAGCCAUGCCGCGUGUGGGAAGAAGGCCUUCGGGUUGUAAACCACUUUUGUCAGGGAAGAAACGGUCUGGCCUAAUACGCUGGACUAAUGACGGUACCUGAAGAAUAAGCACCGGCUAACUACGUGCCAGCAGCCGCGGUAAUACGUAGGGUGCAAGCGUUACCCCCGAAUUACUGGGCGUAAAGCGUGCGCAGGCGGCUUUGCAAGACAGGUGUGAAAUCCCCGGGCUCAACCUGGGAACUGCAUUUGUGACUGCAUGGCUAGAGUACGGUAGAAGGGGAUGGAAUUCCGCGUGUAGCAGUGAAAUGCGUAGAUAUGCGGAGGAACACCGAUGGCGAAGGCAAUCCCCUGGACCUGUACUGACGCUCAUCACAAGC
This 404-nucleotide ribosomal RNA is filed under the name uncultured bacterium. Its description in RNAcentral is "bacterial SSU rRNA". It matches the Rfam family "Bacterial small subunit ribosomal RNA", at positions 362 to 760 of the family's 1533-position model. The record is from RNAcentral.